UCCACCUUCAAUACCUACUCCAACACCUGCUACCCUUCCACCAACUACCUUUCCUGUAACACCUACUAGUUUUCCUAUAGUAUCCUCUCCAACACACACUACCUUUUUUUCCAAACCUACUACCCUCCCCCCCCAGCAUUUACCUUCUCCACAUCCGUUCAAACAUCCACCCACAACAUUUCUACAGGUCCCUUUGAGAGACACAGCCGAGUUAAGGAUGGUGACGAUGCUACUGAUCUUGUUGACGUUGAAGAUGUUGACGCUCGCCAUGGUGACAACAACCUCGUCCACGUGGUUACUGCGCUGCUGUCACUGGUGGUUCUGUUCAUACUUAUCGUCGCAGGUGUGGUGUCGAGACGACAUAUCCUGAGAUACAUUAACCAGAUCCGUUCUUAUCUACGUAUCCGCCGCCUCAGACGUUAUCUGAACAGACCUCACACUUCACCACCAAGUUCACCAUCACGUCGAGUCCCUGCCCGCUCUCAGGAGCAAACACGUCAUUGCUCUCCAUCCAGUCAGUCCUCUCAGACGUACCAGAUGCAAGUAGAUGGACGUCGAGUUCCUGUCCACUCUCGAUCACGUCAUGGCUCUCCAUCCAGUCAGACUUCCCA
Molecule: long non-coding RNA, 611 nt
Organism: Haliotis rubra (blacklip abalone)
Lineage: Eukaryota; Metazoa; Mollusca; Gastropoda; Lepetellida; Haliotidae
Exons: 3
Source: RefSeq, a predicted model, not a curated record